Molecule: non-coding RNA, 327 nt
Organism: Vicia faba (fava bean)
Lineage: Eukaryota; Viridiplantae; Streptophyta; Magnoliopsida; Fabales; Fabaceae
Source: the annotation of a GenBank genome assembly
AUGCAACUGAGUAGGCUACAAUAUGUUAAGCCUCACAGGUUGAGAGUGCCACUAUAUUUUGCUUAUUGGACAUCCAAGAUAUAUGGGAAACUGAAAACAGAAACACUCGUCCCAUGCUACUUCUUCUAUCUACUAUAUCACCACACCAGCCAGAAUCAUAGUAGGCUACAAGGUGUAGGCUAUUGUCCUCUUCCCAAGUCAGUCAUAUCAAAUUCACUUUUUAGUUUCCUAUUGAUUAAUUCCAAGGAAUUUAGACUACUACACGUGAUGACCAAACCAUCAACAUACAAACACAAUAUCAAUAGUUCUUGUUCAUUUACUACCUAA